UACAGAGACUGCAAGCGUUAUUCGGAUUCACUGGGCGUAAAGGGUGCGCAGGCGGCCAAGUGUGUGAGGCGUGAAAGCCCGGGGCUUAACCCCGGAAUUGCACCUCAAACUACAUGGCUAGAGCAUUGGAGAGGGAAGCGGAAUUUCCGGUGUAGCGGUGAAAUGCGUAGAUAUCGGAAGGAACAUCAGUGGCGAAAGCGGCUUCCUGGUCCAGCACCGACGUUCAGGCACGAAAGCGUGGGGAGCAAACAGG
Molecule: ribosomal RNA, 253 nt
Filed under: uncultured bacterium
Lineage: Bacteria
Description: partial 16S ribosomal RNA
Rfam family: Bacterial small subunit ribosomal RNA
Source: RNAcentral